This 2243-nucleotide long non-coding RNA is filed under the name Gallus gallus (chicken). Its description in RNAcentral is "long non-coding RNA NONGGAT006660". The record is from RNAcentral. Lineage: Eukaryota; Metazoa; Chordata; Aves; Galliformes; Phasianidae.
GAAGCUACAAAGCCAUGCUUACUCAUACUGUUUCAAAUUUUUGCAACUCUGUAGUGUUUCACUUUUAAAGGAACAUCUUUGAUUCCAAAGGAGAAAAUAAGAUAAGCAAAGAAGUCUUUCUCUCCAACUUCUCAAAGGCUUAUGGCUUCCUAAAAACAAGUGAAACUUUCAGCAUUCCACAGCUGAUUUAAAGCAACAAAUGCCUGUGAAACAGCAAAGAUGGUAAGCAAAGCAAACUAGUUUUUCAGUCUAAGUCAAAAUUGAACCAAGUUUCUUCCUCUAGUACGGUAAAACAAGCUGCACGUCAUGGCAAUGGAAGUGCUGUCUAGAUUUAAAAAAAUAAGGAAAUGAAAUACUUCAAUACAUUAGAAGUUCUCAAAAUUCAACAUUUCUUCUUGGAUAAAAGAGUUUAUGGCACCAGUUUUGAAACUAAAGAUAAGAAUGCAGCUCGCUGUAGACAGAAUACUGUGAAGUAGGGUUGGGAGGGGGUAUUUUGUGCCCAGUAUCUCAGUGAAGAUGCUCAAACAGACUGCGUGUACUGUUACUUUAAGAAAAUUAAAAGACUUGUGAAAUCAGGAAUUGGUUUAGGUUGACAGAUACCGUCUCAGCUAUUGGGAGUUUGAAGCAAGCCAUUGCGAACUUGACAUUUAGUUGGAUGCCUGACUGUUCAGUUUUGACACAGCAUUACAGGGAUACCUGGUACAUGUGGCAGAACCUGUGACGAGUUAAGACUCAGGUAAAGCCAUGAAGUUCAAAUGAUGCUCUUGAAUAUAGUAUACGUGAAGACCUCCAACUAAAAGCAAAACCAAAGCUUUUUACUUCUGUUUAGUCCUCAGUAUGUUUGGUCGUUCAACUUAUGGAUUUAACAUGGCAGUGCACCAUUGAAAAGGAAUGAGAAUCCAUAAGCCAUGCAACCAGUCACUAAGUCAUUCCAGUCCAUUCCAGACCAGUGAAUCCUCCACCACUUAAAAGAGAAGUAGUAAAACUUGAAACAGACUAAUCUGCAAACCCAAGCUUGUGACUCUUGAAAUGGGGGGAAGUGCUAUAGAUGGACUCGUGCAGUAAAAUGUAUUUUUCUCAGCUUGCUUUAUUUUGAUUACAGGAUGAUAACUUCUGGAAGAUGCUUCGGAAGUAAAGCAGCUUCGUCUGGUUUGGUGGCAGAGAUGAGUGGUGCCUGUACUGAUAGAUCAGACUAGAAGAAGGCAGUGCAGCAAUGGAUAUGCACUGGAAAAAUGAAGAACAACAAAAUGCAGCUGGCAAAAGUUGACUUUUGAGUGUGGUGUCACCCAGUAUCUGUUUCAGAGAGUUGUGUUACUAUUUAAGGAAUUUUCUUUGAAAGUAGCCCAUCUGAUCUCUUACAUCCAAGUGUUUCUUAGAUGAAAAUCAGUUGUCUCCUGUAGCUUACAUCUUCCAAGAGCCAGGAGUCUUAUUUCUAUGCAGUAAACAUGCAUCAGUAAAUUCUGAAGCAGAAAAAUACUCAGGGUUCCUCUUUACACGCAUUGCUUUUCCUCUUCCCUAAAAGAAGAGCCAGUUAUAGGAAAGUGAGUUAUAGUCCUCUAAAAUGCAGAGGACUAAAUAGCUCCAAAUUCUUCCUCACCAAGAGACCAGCAGGAGUUUUACAGUAUUGUUACUUGAAAAUUUCCUAAUUGUCCUAGCCUUGUGGAUUAGAGGAAGAAGGCAUUGAUGUAGUGAGGCAGUACAAGUGAUGAGUUACCAGAAUGAUCAGUGGUCUUAUGUUUACUAGGUUCUUAGAAAGCUCCAGCAGGUGCCAGCAGUGUACAUCCUAACAAGUGCACAAUUCCAUAGAAACAAGAUGUUUUCUUCAAAAUACUGCCUCGGUUUUGAUGUGUUUUUAACCUAUCUGUGUGCUGAUUUGCCAGCACACACGAGAGUAAUGCUCAGACAUGAGUACUUGAUACAGAAAACUAACCAGAUUGGCAGAGGUACUUAGUUAAGGCUUAUAAAAUUUAUACUAUUUCUACAGUAGACAUAAAUGUAAAUACCUCUCGGUUUUUCAGUGAGUAACUAAUAAAGAAAAAGCAUGUGUACCCUUUCAAGGACGUUAAAGCUAUGUCUGUUUUUUGGGUUAAGAGUAUCACUUUCAACUUCAGCUAAAAAUUGCAGAUACUAUGAGUAAAUUGCCUCUAAAUAGGAAAAUGGAUAAAACUGCAGUAUUUUCCAGCGUUAAUAAAUGAGUUGUUAAAUAAAACGAUUGUUUGUUUUAAAUAAAUUCUUAUUUCUUG